CCAGCUGUGCAGUCCUGAAGGAUGCUGGGUACACCUACUCCGGAAGUUACGUCAUCGACCCUGACGGACCGGAAGCCGGAGUUGAGCCCUUCCCUGUACUGUGCGACCUUGACAAUGGCACCACGUUGGUCGGCCAUGACAGUGAGGCCCGUACCAGAGUAAGCCCCGGGUGUGAGGCGGCGGGGUGUUACAGCAGGGAGGUGAAGUACCUUGCUACACCGGACCAGCUCAGCGCUCUAGUCGCCGUGUCUAACUCAUGCAGGCAGUUCUUUAAGUACGAGUGCCACAACUCCAUCCUGAACAUCGCGUGGUGGCGCUCCCCCGGCGGACAGAGACAGGUUCACUGGGCAGGCGCGGGCUCUGGCAGACACACGUGCUCGUGCGGGGAA
This is a long non-coding RNA of Branchiostoma belcheri (Belcher's lancelet), 389 nucleotides long. RefSeq lists it as uncharacterized. Lineage: Eukaryota; Metazoa; Chordata; Leptocardii; Amphioxiformes; Branchiostomatidae. The record is from RefSeq and is a predicted model, not a curated record. The transcript has 3 exons.